AAAGAACGAUGAAAUGUCUUGUCAUUCUAAAUCAAAUUAAAACUCGACAGCGGACUAUUUUUAUGUGCAUUUAGAACUUUGUUGACAGAUUGCGAUUCGUGCUCGCGUCGUCUGUCAAAGAUGAUUUGCAAAUUUUUCAUACUAGAAGCAAGGAGAUUGAAAAUUAUUCACAGGAAAAACAGUUUGUUUUGAGGCAAACAAAAUCAACAUUCAAUUAAAUAAAAAAGAGAGUUAAGGAAUUUACGUGGUAAGAUUUUAAUAGAACAAGCGAAAAAAGGAUCUGAAAAUGCAUUUAUGAGGGGGAGGACAGGGGGGUACUCUUUUUUCCUUCUCUCACCCCUCUUCUCCUACCCCUCUUCCCUCUCCUACCCUCUUUCCUUAUUUUUUUUUUUAAUUUACCGGAAAAAAGAGAUAUUUUAUUUUUUCAUAUUUUAUUUUUUUCUCCAACUUCUCCUUUUUCCCAACCUUCCUCUCCUUUCUCCUACCCCCUUUCUCCCACCCCUUUCUCCUACCUCCUUUCUCCCUGUCUCCCUUAUCCCUGUCCUCCCCCUCAUUUAUAUCUGAUACUGAUCAUAACUCAUGAAUAAAAAUGGUAUCUGGUCUCAGUUGGGCCAGAGACAUAUAUACAUGUAUAUAUGUCUCUGGUUGGUCUGCUGUGUCACUCAGUAGUCCAAAUAAUUAUGACGUCUGGCAAGGCUAUUUUAAUUUUUUUCUGGGACGCCUUCCUACAACUGUGUCAGGAUUUGACUGUCAAAGUGAUACAAAACUCUAGAAUUCUUCUGUAUAUACAAAUACACCGUGACAGUAGCUAAUCAAGAAAUUAAUAAAAGGGGGAACGUCUAGUGCCUGUGGUCCUAGUGUAACAGUAGUCCAAAUAAUUAUGACGUCUGGCAAGGCUAUUUUUAUUUUUUUUAUGGGACGCCUUGCCAGACGUCAUAUUAAAUUAGUUGGAAUAGUGUAACAGUAAAUUUGGUCCGGUUGUAAAAUUUGUUCUCCAGACUUUUUUUCCUAGUUACAUGUAAUUAAGUCCAUGUCCAUGAUUUUACUAGGAAUUAAUGUCCCAGGACAAAUGUUUCUAGGAAAAUCAGUCCAUAGCUAGUAAUUUAUGUUUGUAACUUGUUUUCCUAGGAAAAUAUGUCACAAGACUUGUUUUUCUAAUAGUUUUUUUGUAUCAUAAAAUAUAUUUAAAAUAGAAGAUUUUUUUUUUAUAGAUAAGAUUGGAAAAUAGAAGAAUUUUUUUUCCAAUAAAAAUGAAGAAUAUUUCCUUAAUAACCUAAUUAUUAAAAACAUAAAUAUUCAGUUUCCUUUGCUUAUAACAUUUUUUAUAAUAAAAGACAUGGACAUUUUUAGUCCAAAUAAUUAUGACGUCUUGAUAGGCUAUUAUAUCUUUUUUCUUUGACGCCUUACUUCGUCAAAUUAUGACGUCUUGUAAGUUGAAAGGCUUUUAUAUUUUUUUUCUUUGACGCCUUACUUAGUUCGUCGAAGUAAGGCUUCAAAGAAAAAAAAAUAUAAUAGCCUUUCAAGCUGUCAUAAUUAUUUGGACUAGGACAUUUUUACCUAGGAAUUCAAUACUAAUGACAUGGACAUGAUUUUCUAGGAAAAUAUGACAUGGACAUGAUUUCCUAGGAAAAUUAGUCUGGAGACAAAUUUUAUUUACAGCUAAUUUCCUAAAAUGCAUGUAAUGCAAAACUUUGGUUGGCUUGCCUUCUUUGUUUGUAUAAUUGUUUAUACAAGCUUUGUUAAUAAGAUUGACAUGAUGGUCAUCUUUAUAUAAUAUAUAUAUAUAGGCAUAGUUUAACCUGUAUAUUUAAUAUUUGAAUUUAAUUGGAUAUUAUCCUAAUGAGUGUACAAUUUAAAUACAAAGCAAGCAAGCUAACUUAAGUCUUGCUCUACAUGCUUUAGGAAAUUAGCUGUAACAGAUUGAUACACAACUCUUUCGUUUUGUCUAUAACAAUGUUAAAACAUAUUACAUUCAUAUUCACUUUUAAAAAUUAAAGGCAUAGACAUUUAAACCUAGGACUUCUAAUGACAUGGACAUGACUUUGUGGGAAAAUUAAUAGUCUGGGGACAUAAAUUUUAUCAAAAAUUUAACUAUGUGACUCUUAAACAUUACUAAAACAUAAGAUUUAAAUUUGCAAAUGCAAGUAAUUGAAUCUUUUAUAGGAUUUUAUAGGACAUGAUUACCUAGGAAAAUUUGUCUGGGGACAUAUAUAACUAAUAUCGGACUAAAUAUAUACUAGUAAAUUCUGUAACCAUGGACUUUUUAUACUAUAUAGUAAUAUUUGUCCGUCCUGAGUCCUGACAUAUUUUACCAGGACAAAUUUAUCACUCACACUUGUACUUGUUCGCCCUGGAUCAAUUUGCUCUGAUUUUUUUUUUGUACUCCAGUUGCAUAAUGUUAAUUAUUUGAACAUUACAUGUUAAAGUUUGUUGAAAAAUUUGCUGAAUUUUUGUAUUGCCACAACCAAUUUAUUAUUUCCCCUAUUUGCUUAGUCACUGUCAUGAUAGUAGCUAGAACACUGGAGUACAAUGUAUUAAUUUAUCUUCAUUGCUAUUUUUUAACAAAAUAAUUUGUUUUUUAAUACAAGUCUCAGAAUAUAUACAAAAUGUAAUUUUAAACGAACUUGUAAAUCCUUGUAUUAAAUUCCUGUUUUCGUGAUUUACAGUUCGUACAUCCAUGACAUCAUUGUUUUUAUUAAUUCCAAGCUGACUACUAGCUUAUAAAUCAAAACAAAAAGUUUGUUUUUUUAUUAUUGAUCCAUCAAAAGACAAUUAUCACAAAAAUCAGUGAGAAUAAUUUACAUGUUAUUGAACAAUUACCUUUCCUAUAAACUUUUAAAUAUUUAUGUUUUUUUUAUAAAUUUUAAGCUAUACAAUUCUUACUUGCAUCUCUGAAAUGUGCUUCUAUGUGGUUUUGUUAGCAAUUUCUGUACAGGUCUGCUAAAGGCUCAAAUUGACAUUUCACCCAAUUUCACCAUUUUCCCGCCAAAAUUUGGGUUUUAAGGCAAAAUUUUUAUUUUUCCUUAUUGGUGACCCUUGUAUUUGCCAGGGACGCAUACAUGUAUAUAAGUCCUUGUAUUUGCUUAAUAUUUGAAGCUAUAUUUCAGCUUUGUACAUUACAGAUUUGGACCAGGUCACACCUGAGGUGUCACAGACAGUUUUUAUUUGAUAUCCCAUAAAAAUAUGUCAGCACCUCUAUUUUCAUUUUAUUGAAAAUGGUCCCUUUAACAUGCUUGUACCUAUUUUGAAAGUAAAAUUUUGAGCUUAAAUGGUCUGGAACCCCUAUUUUUUUUCGACAAAUUUGAGGUACUCUUUGUAAAGAUUAAAAUAAUACGGCAUUCUGAUAGAGACUUUGAAUAAGUCUGAGCCAUCUUAACUGUGUAAAAUCAAAAGUAGCAGCACGAAAUAAAGUUAAAAUGAAUAUGAGUCCCCUGUAUUAUAUUUUAAACACCGCUUUUUUGAUGAUCAAGUAAUUCCUAAAUGAAUACUGGAAAAUGCUCUCCGAACAUAAAAUUUGCAUCAAAUAAUAAAAAGCUUCAUUUUAAUCAACAUAGAAAUAUGUUUCGAAUUUGAUGAUUUAUUGGGUAUAUAUGAUAUUGCCUUCACUCAGUUAUAAACUAGAAAAAAGUAAUGUUUAGCUCACCUAGCCCAAAGGGCCUAGUGAGCUUUUCCCAUCACUUUGCAUCCGGCGUUGUUACCUUUACAAAAAUCUUCUAGAACUCUGAAACUACUGGGCCAAAUUAAACCAAACUUGGCCACAAUUAUCAUUGUAGUAUCUUGUUUAAAAAAAUAUGUCAGAUGACCCGGCCAACCAGCCAAGAUGGCCGCCAUGGCUAAAAAUAGAACAUAGGGGUAAAAUACAGUUUUUGGCUUAUAACUCAAAAACCAAAGCAUUUAGAACAUAUAUCUGACAAGGGUAUAAUUGGUAUAAUUGUUUAACAGGUGAAGAUCUAUCUGACCUGAAAUUUUCAGAUGAAUCAGACAACCCAUUGUUGGGUUGCUGCCCCUGAAUUAGUAAUUUUAAGGAAAUUUUGCUGUUUUUGGUUUUUAUCUUUAAUAUUAUUAUAGAUAGAGAUAAACUGUAAACAGCAAUAAUGUUCAGCAAAGAAAGAUUUACAAAUAAGUCAACAUGACCGAAAUGGUCAACAAGGUCAAUUAAUCCCCUAUGGAGUUAUUGUCCUUUAUAGUCAAUUUUUAACAUUUUUGUGACAAAAAUUUUUACAAAAAUUUUCAAUAAUGAAUUUUGUUCAAAAGAUUUUUUCUACUAUUUACAUUUUCCACUAAAAACUAUGACAAAAUAGGGUCAAGUAAAUAAUGACAUUACUGUUCAGAGUUCAAUUUUCUCAUGAACAUUCAGCUUAAAUAUAUGAAAAAUAAGUCAAUUCAAUAAUGACGAUUUAAAGUUAAGAUGUAAAAUGGCAGUUGUUGCAAAGCUUUUCAAGUUCAUGUACAAAUUUGAUAUUAACACAUUUCACAUCAGUCACACACAAAUCAAACAAUUUUCAUAAAAUUUGUAAAUUUUUACAACAUUUUCCACUAAAACUACUGGGUCAAGUUUAAUAUAUAUAGAGAUAAUUUUAAGCAGCAAGAAUGUUCAGUAAAGUAAGAUGUACAAACACAUCACCAUCACCAAAACACAAUUUUGUCAUGAAUCCAUCUGCUUCCUUUGUUUAAUAUUCACAUACAUGUAGACCAAGGUGAGCGACACAGGUUCUUUAGAGCCUCUAGUUUAAAGUCUAGAAUACCUUUUUAUACAACCAUAAAAUUUUUGCAAUCAUAUAAUUAUAUUGGUAUGUAUCACAUCGUCUUUGUGGUCAGCUGAGCAUCGUUCAAAGACGGAUGGUUUCCAGAUAAUAACUUUAGUAUAAGUUAAUCAUGUUAAUAGAAAUGAAUAGAAUUUUAACACAAUGUUUAAAACAACAAAAGGAAGCUUGGGAUUGAUAUUGGGGGUUAUGGUCCCUAAGGUUUAGGAUAAGGGGACCAAAACAAGCAUUUAUCUAGUUUCAGGACAAUAAGUUGUGUAUAAGUAUUUCAAUUCCUCUGAAAUUGUACCACAAUGUUAAAUAUUAUAAGAUUUGAAGAAGGUUGGAAUUUAUUUUUAGGGUUAUGGGGCAAACAGUCAAGAAUGAUGGGCCAAACACAAGCAUUUUUGUAGUUUUAAGUUAAUGACUUGUGUAAAAGUGUAUGAUCUUUCUGAAAAUUAUACCCCAAUGCUCUAUACUACUAUGGGAUGGUUAGGAUUGGCUGAGGGUAUAGAUAAAACCAUUUAUGAAUAAGGGGCAAAAAAGAUGAAAAACAAUUAUUUUUCUGGUUAAAGGAUAGUCAAGACAAUUUGAAAGCUGUGUAAGGGAGGUAAUCCAAAAGUUAUAUUUGAAUUAUUUCACACAACUUUUAAGGUGGUACCUAACACUACAGGGAGAUAACUCUGUAAAGUCAGCUAAACGUUUUAAUUACGUUGUGUUGUUAAAGGGAUAUUAAGCUUUUCAAUGAUCAAAAUGAGUGUUUGUCAAACUGCUAUAUAACCAGUGUAAUUUUUCUGAUAAAACGGUUGGUUCAAAAAAAUUUAAAUUUUUAUAUUUUUGUCAAAGGGUCAAAGUAAAUACUUUGUCAAAAUUUUAAGAAAAUUAAACGAGCCAAAUUAAUUUUAGUUCAAGUGUUGGGUACCACCUUAAAGAUGUGAUUUUGAAAUUUACCAACAUAUAUAACUUCGGUAUUAAUAAAAUCCAUUGGAAAUUUGCCAAUAACUUAAGUUUAAUUAAAAAAAAUGCCAAUAGUUUUAGCAUAAGUAAAUAUAAAUCUUUGAAGUUUGAAACCACAAAAAGGAAGGUUUGGAUUGAUUUGGGGGUUAAUUUAUGGUCCCUUUGGUGUAGGAAAAAGGGGUAUAAAAGGGGCCCAAAUAAUCAAUUUUCUAUUGUCCAGACAAUAAUUUGUAGAACAGUUUAUAGAAUUGCCUGAAGUUUCCACACCACAAAACUCCAAAGGAUAGUUAAGGGUUGGAAUAUUGGAGUUAUGACUCAAUCUGUUUAUGAAUUAGGAGCAACAAAAGGGGAAAAACAAGGGUUUCCUGGUUAAUGGACAAUUACUUUAGAUUUGUUUCUUUUUUGUUGGUGCCUUUUUUUGCUAGUUCUUUUAUGAAUUUUUAUGCUCUACCUACAAUAGUAGAGAAGCAUUAUGUUUUCUAGUCUGUGCGUCCUUUCGUCUGUUUGUUUGUCUGUCCAUCCAUUCUUCCCACUUCAGGUUAAUGUUUUUGGUCAAGAUAGUUUUUGAUGAAGCUGAAGUCCAAUCAACUUGAAACUUAGUACAAAUGUUCCUUAUGAUAUGAUCUUUCUUAUUUUAAAACAAACAAAAUUAAAGACUUUUGACCCCAUUUUUAUGGUUCACUGAACAUAGAAAUUAAAAGUGUUCCCUCAGUUUCAGGUUAAAGUUUUUUUUAGUCAAGGUAGUUUUUGAUGAAGUUAAAGUCCAAUCAAUUUGAAACUUAGUACACAUUUAUCAUUAAAAAAGCUGAUUGUGUCGUUUCAUAUUGAAUUAAAAUUUAUUUACCUAAUUUAUAAUUUCAGCUUUUCCAUGCAUUGUAAGAUUUCCAGAAUAUAGAACAUGUAGUUCCUGAUAAAAAAAAAAACACCAAAAGAUUGCUACGAUAAAACUGUUGAGUAACUAUUUGUAAUACAGAAUGCAUCAAGAUGGUGGUAUGCUACAUAUAUAAUAUUGAUA
Molecule: long non-coding RNA, 6714 nt
Filed under: Mytilus galloprovincialis (Mediterranean mussel)
Lineage: Eukaryota; Metazoa; Mollusca; Bivalvia; Mytilida; Mytilidae
Source: RNAcentral